Molecule: ribosomal RNA, 253 nt
Filed under: uncultured bacterium
Lineage: Bacteria
Description: partial 16S ribosomal RNA
Rfam family: Bacterial small subunit ribosomal RNA
Source: RNAcentral
UACGGAGGGGGCUAGCGUUAUUCGGAAUUACUGGGCGUAAAGCGCACGUAGGCGGAUCUGCAAGUCAGAGGUGAAAUCCCAGGGCUCAACCUUGGAACUGCCUUUGAAACUGCGGGUCUUGAGUUCGAGAGAGGUGAGUGGAAUUCCGAGUGUAGAGGUGAAAUUCGUAGAUCUUCGGAAGAACACCAGUGGCGCAGGCGACUCACUGGCCCAUUACUGACGCUGAGGCUCGAAAGCGUGGGGAGCAAACAGG